This 780-nucleotide ribosomal RNA is filed under the name Rothia sp. KSUM_8. RNAcentral's name for it is "bacterial SSU rRNA". It matches the Rfam family "Bacterial small subunit ribosomal RNA", at positions 20 to 801 of the family's 1533-position model. Lineage: Bacteria; Bacillati; Actinomycetota; Actinomycetes; Micrococcales; Micrococcaceae. The record is from RNAcentral.
CUGCUCAGGACGAACGCUGGCGGCGUGCUUAACACAUGCAAGUCGAACGAUGAAGCCCAGCUUGCUGGGUGGAUUAGUGGCGAACGGGUGAGUAAUACGUGAGUAACCUGCCUUUAACUCUGGGAUAAGCCUUGGAAACGGGGUCUAAUACCGGAUACGACCAGUUCCCGCAUGGGAUGCUGGUGGAAAGGGAUUUUGUACUGGUUUUAGAUGGGCUCACGGCCUAUCAGCUUGUUGGUGAGGUAACGGCUCACCAAGGCGACGACGGGUAGCCGGCCUGAGAGGGUGACCGGCCACACUGGGACUGAGACACGGCCCAGACACAUACGGGAGGCAGCAGUGGGGAAUAUUGCACAAUGGGCGCAAGCCUGAUGCAGCGACGCCGCGUGAGGGAUGACGGCCUUCGGGUUGUAAACCUCUUUCAGCAGGGGAGAAGCGAAAGUGACGGUACCUGCAGAAGAAGCGCCGGCUAACUACGUGCCAGCAGCCGCGGUAAUACGUAGGGCGCGAGCGUUGUCCGGAAUUAUUGGGCGUAAAGAGCUUGUAGGCGGUUUGUCGCGUCUGCUGUGAAAAGCCCGGGGCUUAACCCCGGGUUUGCAGUGGGUACGGGGCAGACUAGAGUGCAGUAGGGGGAGACUGGAAUUCCUGGUGUAGCGGUGAAAUGCGCAGAUAUCAGGGAGGAACACCAAUGGCGAAGGCAGGUCUCUGGGCUGUAACUGACGCUGAGAAGCGAAAGCAUGGGGGAGCGAACAGGAUUAGAUACCCCUGGUAGUCCAUGCC